Long non-coding RNA from Salvelinus sp. IW2-2015, 200 nucleotides. RefSeq lists it as uncharacterized. NCBI's taxonomy places the organism in Eukaryota, Metazoa, Chordata, Actinopteri, Salmoniformes, Salmonidae. The record is from RefSeq and is a predicted model, not a curated record.
UUUUGUAGAACGGUUUGGGUACUUCCCCUUACUUACAGGUAGAUGCUUCCGGUUUUCAGUGUAAGACACGUGUACACUAAGAUAUUGUACAGGCACAAACAUUGCUAUGUCAGAUUGUAAUCCAGCAGUGUUUUAGGAGCAGGAAUCAUGAAGAGCCUCGUGGAAUAACUGCUCUGGUGCACUGCAUGAAACAGAGGUAU